CUAUAUUUAUGAUUAGAUUUAGUACAUUGUUAUACUUUGACCUAAUGUGUAUGAAAAUAUUUGCAUUGUAUAUAUAAAUAUUCUGAAUUUAGUAAGGAUAUGGCCUAUGAUUUGAAAGAUAUAGUGGAACAUUAUUUUCGUAUAUAAGGUUAAGAAUACUUGGUCUUUGGGAAAAUCAUAGCUUUUGCCUGUGUUAGCUUGUACUAAAAAUGUUUACAAGGAUAGGGCCUAAUGAUUGCCAAAACUUUUUUAACAAAUGUGUUGUGAUAUCAUUUCUUCCUUAGCUUUAAUUGGGUUUUUAAAAUUAUUUACUGCUAGUGAUAAUUCUUCUAUUGUAACAUAUUCUUCGCACGUCUGACAUUCAUGUUCUGAUGAAUUAUUAUUUACUUCGGUGCUGUAAAUAUAUUCCAAUGAUAGGGCAAUAUUUUCGUUUCUUUUGAAUAUAGUCUUUUGUAAGAUUUCAUUUCAAUUUGAAGUAUUUCAAUUGAUCUGUAAUAAUCUUUCUUUGGUGAUCUGUUAAUAUGUUGGGGUUUUUUUUUUGUAUUUUUUUUUUUUUUUUGGGGGGGGGGGGGUUGUUUGUUGUUUAUUUUAGACCUAAAAAGUAUGCUGUAUUUUUGUCGCCUUGUUCUUCCCAAUCUUGUUUCGGUCUUCAUUGGGCGCC
RNAcentral lists this long non-coding RNA (661 nucleotides) under Mytilus galloprovincialis (Mediterranean mussel). The record is from RNAcentral. Lineage: Eukaryota; Metazoa; Mollusca; Bivalvia; Mytilida; Mytilidae.